AAUCUUCAAGAUUAGCCAUGCAUGUCUCAGUAUAAGCUUCUAUACGGCGAAACUGCGAAUGGCUCAUUAAAACAGUUAUAGUUUAUUUGGUGGUCAGCAAUUACAUGGAUAACCGUGGUAAUUCUAGAGCUAAUACAUGCGCCCAAACCCGACUUCGUGGAAGGGUUGUGUUUAUUAGAUACAGAACCAACCCAGGCUCCGCCUGGCCUUGAGGUGAUUCAUAAUAAUCGAACGAAUCGCAUGGCUAUGCCGGUGAUAGACCAUUCAAGUUUCUGACCUAUCAGCUAUCGUCGGUAGGGUAUUGGCCUACCGUGGCAAUGACGGGUAACGGAGAAUUAGGGUUCGAUUCCGGAGAGGGAGCCUGAGAAACGGCUACCACAUCUAAGGAAGGCAGCAGGCGCGCAAAUUACCCAAUCCUGACGCAGGGAGGUAGUGACAAGAAAUAACAAUACAGGGCAUACAUGUCUUGUAAUUGGAAUGAGUAAACUUUAAAUCACUUU
This 500-nucleotide ribosomal RNA is filed under the name uncultured eukaryote. Its description in RNAcentral is "SSU rRNA". It matches the Rfam family "Eukaryotic small subunit ribosomal RNA", at positions 34 to 536 of the family's 1831-position model. The record is from RNAcentral.